AGAGUUUGAUUAUGGCUCAGGGUGAACGCUAGCGGCGCGCCUAAUGCAUGCAAGUCGAGCGGGAUCCUUUCGAAUUUAUUCUUAAGGUGAGAGUGGCGAACGGGUGAGUAACACGUUGGUGACCUGCCCCAGAGAGGGGGAUAACCAUUGGAAACGAUGGCUAAUACCCCAGAUGUCAUUACGGUUAGAGAGUAAUGACUAAAGUUCCGACGCUCUGGGAGGGGCCUGCGGCCCAUCAGCUAGUUGGUAGGGUAACGGCCUACCAAGGCGACGACGGGUAGGGGACGUGAGAGCGUGACCCCCCACACUGGUACUGAAACACGGACCAGAUACCUACGGGUAGCAGCAGCAAGGAAUAUUGCCCAAUGGACGAAAGUCUGAGGCAGCAACGCCGCGUGGAGGAAGAAGGCCUUCGGGUUGUAAACUCCUUUUCUGGGGGAAGAGAAAGGACGGUACCCCAGGAAUAAGUCUCGGCUAACUACGUGCCAGCAGCCGCGGUAAAACGUAGGAGGCGAGCGUUAUCCGGAUUUACUGGGCGUAAAGCGCGUGUAGGCGGUUUUUUAAGUCGGACGUGAAAGCUCCCGGCUCAACUGGGAGAGGUCGUUCGAAACUAGAAGACUUGAGGGUGGUAGAGGAGAGUGGAAUUCCCGGUGUAGUGGUGAAAUGCGUAGAUAUCGGGAGGAACACCAGUGGCGAAGGCGGCUCUCUGGGCCACUCCUGACGCUAAGACGCGAAAGCUAGGGGAGAAAACGGGAUUAGAAACCCCGGUAUUCCUAGCCGUAAACGAUGUCAACUAGGUGUA
Molecule: ribosomal RNA, 802 nt
Filed under: uncultured Chloroflexota bacterium
Lineage: Bacteria; Bacillati; Chloroflexota
Description: bacterial SSU rRNA
Rfam family: Bacterial small subunit ribosomal RNA
Source: RNAcentral